RNAcentral lists this ribosomal RNA (466 nucleotides) under uncultured bacterium. RNAcentral's name for it is "partial 16S ribosomal RNA". It matches the Rfam family "Bacterial small subunit ribosomal RNA", at positions 339 to 795 of the family's 1533-position model. The record is from RNAcentral.
CUACGGGAUGCAGCAGUGGGGAAUAUUGGACAAUGGGGGAAACCCUGAUCCAGCAAUGCCGCGUGUGUGAAGAGGGCCUGCGGGUUGUAAAGCACUUUCGGUUGGGAGGACUGCUUCUAGCACUAAUAUUGUUGGAAGUUGACGUUACCUUCAGAAGAAGCACCGGCUAACUCCGUGCCAGCAGCCGCGGGUAAUACGGAGGGUGCAAGCGUUAAUCGGAAUUACUGGGCGUAAAGCGCGCGUAGGCGGCUAGAUCAGUCGGGGGUGAAAGCCCCGGGCUUAACCUGGGAACUGCAUCCGAUACUGUCUAGCUUGAGUACAGGAGAGGAGAGUGGAAUUCCACAUGUAGCGGUGAAAUGCGUAGAUAUGUGGAGGAACACCAAUGGCGAAGGCAGCUCUCUGGCCUGAUACUGACGCUGAGGUGCGAAAGCGUGGGGAGCAAACAGGAUUAGAUACCCGCGUAGUC